GUAGUUCCAUGCCGUAAACGUUGGGCACUAGGUGUGGGGCUCAUUCCACGAGUUUCCGUGCCGCAGCAAACGCAUUAAGUGCCCCGCCUGGGGAGUACGGCCGCAAGGCUAAAACUCAAAGGAAUUGACGGGGGCCCGCACAAGCGGCGGAGCAUGCGGAUUAAUUCGAUGCAACGCGAAGAACCUUACCAAGGCUUGACAUGCACGAGAAGCCACCAGAGAUGGUGGUCUCUUUGGACACUCGUGCACAGGUGGUGCAUGGUUGUCGUCAGCUCGUGUCGUGAGAUGUUGGGUUAAGUCCCGCAACGAGCGCAACCCUCGUCCCAUGUUGCCAGCGGGUUAUGCCGGGGACUCAUGGGAGACUGCCGGGGUCAACUCGGGGAAGGUGGGGAUGACGUCAAAUCAUCAUGCCCCUUAUGUCUUGGGCUUCACGCAUGCUACAAUGGCCGGUACAAAGGGCUGCGAUACCGUAAGGUGGAGCGAAUCCCAAAAAGCCGGUCUCAGUUCGGAUUGGGGUCUGCAACUCGACCCCAUGAAGUCGGAGUCGCUAGUAAUCGCAGAUCAGCAACGCUGCGGUGAAUACGUUCCCGGGCCUUGUACACACCGCCCGUCAAGUCACGAAAGUCGGUAACACCCGAAGC
This 641-nucleotide ribosomal RNA is filed under the name bacterium. RNAcentral's name for it is "bacterial SSU rRNA". It matches the Rfam family "Bacterial small subunit ribosomal RNA", at positions 790 to 1427 of the family's 1533-position model. The record is from RNAcentral.